CAAACAUGUACUGCGGCAGGUAGCCAGGGCUGCAAGACCAAGUGCUCUCCCACCCCAGCCACUAAGCCACAGCACACAGCCAAGGCAUCAGAAGCACUGCAUAAAGCCAUUUUGGUUCUAGCAGGAUUUCACUGCAUCUCCAGUUACUGUCAUUUUAUUUUGCAAUCAUCCUUUUUUUCUUAUCUCACAGAGUGUUUUCAGUCUUUUAGGACUCCUGCAGGAAUGGACCUGGAUUGAAAACUUGCCCAUGUCAAUUCACAAAAAUCACUUCUUGCUUCUGGAUCAGCUGCUUGGGCCUGUUGUGCUGGACUGAACCAGCCCAUGGGAAGUGGAUAAAUGCUGCUUUGUCUGGAACAAAAGUGGGCUGACUUCAUCUACGUGCAUUUAUUCUACAUUGCAUUAGCGUGUGAGAUUCUGGACCAAGCCUGAGCACGGUUCCAGUGACAAGCUGCCCAGAGCUGCAGGGUGUUCAGCACGUCCACACUGAAUUGCUCCCAUCUCUUCAUUUCAAUCUGCACAAGACCUAGAUCAUGUCCACACACCUUUGGCUGCCUGUGUGAACGCGUGCCUUGCUCUAUGCAGGCUGGAGGAGACACUCAACUCUCUCUCCAUAAGGCAAUAUGAAAAUCUGCAAGAAAAACGUCAUCCAGUCUCAAGAGUGCAGUGAUUCAUCUUGGUACACAAAUCCUAUUCUGUGAACAGGUAACACUGCACGAAGUGUUUCGAUUUGUUCUUCAGGAAAAUGUUUCAUCAUCAUUUUUUAUUUUCUUUCUUCAAAAAAUAAAAUCAUCUGCUUUAAGGAUAUCACCACCUCAGGUUUUCUCCAGCUUUCUCCUUUUUUAUGACUGGUGUGGAUCAUUACUCAAGGUAAUGAGGUUAAAAACUCUUCAGUUUCUGAGCUUUCAGUCUGAAAGUAGUGCUUUUUCUAAGUGGCUGAAGCUCAUGUAAGUCAGAGCCCUAAGUAGCCAUGAAGCCCAAGGAGAACAGCUUCAAUUUUUGCUUUGUCCAAGCAGCAGGCAGCUCUUCAUCCCUCCAGCCAAAAGUGAAGAAGAUAUAGGGCCAUAAACACACACAGAGAGAAGAGGUUCUGUCAUGAGAGAACUGAUGUUAGAGAAGGCAGAGAAAAGAUGAACACAGUAGAAUGUGGAAAACUAAGCAAGAAAAACCAGUACAAUCUGAGUUUUUUAAAAGGGACAGGGGACUUGCUGUGACUGAGGAAGAAACAUGACCCAAAGGGCAGGUUUACAAAGCUUUACUGAAGUUUAAUCAUGGCCAGGAGACCUCUCCUCCAUGAGGAAGGUAAAUGAGAGGAAGAGAGACACCCUGAUUAAAAUCUGCAGCAGUUCAUGUACAAUUUCCAAAAAAUGCUCCGCAGACCCAUCAAUUCUUAUAAUUACACCAGUCCUCCACAAUCCUCCCUGCAUUCCCACGCACAGAGCUCCUGGUGCUGGACAGGCACAUCCCUGGGCUGCCUCGAGGCCUCUGUUUGUGUUCCAAGGGUCCCUGCUCUCCUCCAGAGAUCAAAACAGGGCCCUGGGUGUUUCUGUCACACAGUCAGUUUGUUGCUUCUGAUACAUCCCGAGAAAGUGUUCAGUCUGGUGUUUACAGGUCUGGCAGAGACAAAGCAAUAGGUGCCUGUCUUUCAGGAGAACAGCUUCCAGCAAGCUCUUUCCAUGCAGGGCAGGGCUGAGCAGUUAGCCCUUUCCUCACAGGAGCUUGUAGGUGGCUUGGGCCGGAGAGAAGAAAGACUGGACAGGGAAAGUGAGCAGACAGGAGAACUGCAUGCCAAAAUGAGCAGUGGCUGGAAGGCUCCCCAGAGAGGAAUCUAUAGCAGGGGGGAAAUCCAGUGGAUUUUAAAGGGGACUUGCAGGAUGAGUUGUAGUUUAGUAACUGUUCUGGACAAAGUGGCACAACUCCCUCACUUCUGCUGAAACCAGAUGUUUCUGAUCUUGGUUCAUUAUUGCAAGCGUUUUCACAUGAUUUUUAAAAAUGCAUGAAAGAGGAGAAGGAGUUGAGCCAACUUCCCACUCACCAGACACCAAAUUUCCAGCUUUCUAUAUUUCCAAAAUUGUUCUCCAGUGGGUUUGGGAUUGACCUGACUGCUCAGUGCUAGUUACCAGUGCCUGAAGACUAGCGCUUAUCUGAGGGACUGAUGAUUAAUUGUUUGUAUCUGAAUGUUUCCACCCAUCUGUAUUUACCACUGUACUUCUGACAAUGUCCAGCUUCCCCAACACUAGUCAUCUGGAAAAUCUUUUACAUUUAAUGCUUCAAGUUGAUAACAGGUUCAGAAUGAUCAGCACUACCACACUGGGGUUACUGUGCUAACCAUCAUUGCUUUUGAGCUCUUAACAGCUCUCUGCCAAAUCUAUCUUUUUCCCUUUUCCUAAUUUUUGAUACAAAUCAAGAUCUUUGCUGCAAAGUACCUUUGCUCCUAGAGAAGAAUCAAGAGAUUUUUCUUUUUCAUUCCUUUUUCUCUUCUUUUCUUUUUUUUUUUUUUUUUUUUUUUUUGUAUCCUCAAAAUCAACUUGUUAUGACAUUUCCCACCAGAACUCAUAUCACAAUGGUUCCUACUACAGUUUAAAGAGGAGCUUAUCACAGAAUCACAGAAUCGCAGAACUGUGGGGACUGAAAAGAACCUCUGGAGAUGAUCUAGUCUCACCCCCUGCUAAAGCAGGUUCUCUCCUGUAGGGUGGCACAGGGAAGUGUCCAGGCAGGUUCUGAACAUCUUCAGCGAAGGAGAGUCCACAGUCUCCCUGAGCAGCCUGUUCCAGUGCUCUGUCAUUCUCACAGUAAAGAAGCUUUUCCUUGUGUUUGUAUGGAGCUUUCUGUGUCCCAGUCUUCACUUGUUGCCCUUUGCUCUUUCACAGUGCACCACUGAAAAGAGUCAUUCUUCCUCGACUUCACUCCCACACUUCAGAUAGUUAUAAACAGUGAUGUGAUCUCUUCUCAACCUUCUGUUCUCCAGGCAGAACAGUUCCAGGUGGAAUAACUGCUUAACAUACCUAGGGCAAGGUGGAUGUUCUUGACAGGGAGCUUGAUUGCCCAUGGAACAGCUUACCAGUCUGCUGUAGGUUCUUUAUCUCUUGAAGUCCUUAGAACACAACUGGAUAGUCAUGUCAGUCAUGUUCUAGCCAGGCAUAAAUAGCUUCAUGCAAAAAGCAUUUUACAGGGUCAUGAAACAGUUUAGGUUGGACGGGAAUAUAAAGAUCAUUUACUUUCAACCUCAUUUUGUAGAAACCUACACUGGACUUGUGUGAGAGGUCUUUCAUGGUCGCAUCUUGUUUCAGAUCUAUAUCUCAAACUGGAUUCAGUGCCAGUAAAGGUUUAUAUCAGUAAGCACUGUGGCCCAGAAGAGUGAGCCCAAUAUACCAAAGUCCAAGAUGCAGGUAAGAUCUGUGAAAAGGCUCUCUUUGAUAUCUCUGAGUUUUGGAUGGCAUCUUCAGAGGGUGAAUGCAGUGCAGACAGUAUGCAGUGACCAGGCAUAUCUCCUUUAGCAAUUAUUAGGUGACACUGCCCUCAGACGGUCAAGAUGGAGUAGGCAAAUUCUUCGUAAUUCUUAAAAAAAAAAUAAAAAAAAUAAGGCAGGGUUUAACAAUCAGAGAAAUAUAUUUAAAGUAAUACAGUAUAAAUAAAUUCAUAAUUCC
Long non-coding RNA from Gallus gallus (chicken), 3644 nucleotides. The record is from Ensembl. NCBI's taxonomy places the organism in Eukaryota, Metazoa, Chordata, Aves, Galliformes, Phasianidae.